RNAcentral lists this ribosomal RNA (492 nucleotides) under uncultured bacterium. Its description in RNAcentral is "partial 16S ribosomal RNA". It matches the Rfam family "Bacterial small subunit ribosomal RNA", at positions 29 to 507 of the family's 1533-position model. The record is from RNAcentral.
AGUGAACGCUGGCGGUAGGCCUAACACAUGCAAGUCGAACGGCAGCACAGUAAGAGCUUGCUCUUACGGGUGGCGAGUGGCGGACGGGUGAGGAAUACAUCGGAAUCUACUUUUUCGUGGGGGAUGACGGAGGGAAACUUACGCUAAUACCGCAUACGACCUACGGGUGAAAGCAGGGGAUCUUCGGACCUUGCGCGAUUGAAUGAGCCGAUGUCGGAUUAGCUAGUUGGCGGGGUAAAGGCCCACCAAGGCGACGAUCCGUAGCUGGUCUGAGAGGAUGAUCAGCCACACUGGAACUGAGACACGGUCCAGACUCCUACGGGAGGCAGCAGUGGGGAAUAUUGGACAAUGGGGGCAAGCCUGAUCCAGCCAUACCGCGUGGGUGAAGAAGGCCUUCGGGUUGUAAAGCCCUUUUGUUGGGAAAGAAAAGCAGUAGGUUAAUACCCCGCUGUUAUGACGGUACCCAAAGAAUAAGCACCGGCUAACUUCGUG